RNAcentral lists this ribosomal RNA (254 nucleotides) under uncultured bacterium. RNAcentral describes it as "partial 16S ribosomal RNA". It matches the Rfam family "Bacterial small subunit ribosomal RNA", at positions 524 to 776 of the family's 1533-position model. The record is from RNAcentral.
UACGAAGGGGGCUAGCGUUGUUCGGAAUUACUGGGCGUAAAGCGUAUGCAGGCGGAUCGUUAAGUCGGGGGUGAAAUCCCGAGGCUCAACCUCGGAACUGCCUUCGAUACUGGCGACCUUCGAGUCCGGGAGAGGUGAGUGGAACUCCGAGUGUAGAGGCGAAAUUCGUAGAUAUUCGGAAGAACACCAGUGGCGAAGGCGGCUCACUGGCCCGGUACUGACGCUGAGAUACGAAAGCGUGGGGAGCAAACAGG